CUUGGGAGGGACAUCUGAGGGCUUCUGUUAUACUCAGUGGUUUCUUAAUCUGGUUGGGUUUGCAAAGUGCACACCAAAGACUCCAGAGAAGACGUUGCCAGUUCAUAUCCCAAAUGUUGUUCUUUUGAAGCCCAUGAGUGAGUGAAACACUGCGCGUGCCUUCAACAACAACACUUCAAAAUCGUGCCACAAUUAACAGAAGCAAAGUAAAGUUUUAUUUGUCUUGUGGAUGCUUCACUUGGGAAGGUGCUGUUGAAAGAGAGAGAACACCUGGGGACAGAGACCGGCCAGGUAUCCAGUCUGCCAGGCUUCUGCAUGGGUUUUGGGAGCCUGCAGAGAGUUGCUUGGGAUGCAGCAGUGGUUCUGAUGCUCGGAGUUCAAGGUGAGGUCAGAUACUUACUUCACUUUCUUUCUUCCAUGGGGACGGUGUC
Molecule: long non-coding RNA, 431 nt
Filed under: Vulpes vulpes (red fox)
Lineage: Eukaryota; Metazoa; Chordata; Mammalia; Carnivora; Canidae
Description: lncRNA (ENSVVUG00000020455.1)
Source: RNAcentral